This is a non-coding RNA of Pelobates cultripes (western spadefoot toad), 207 nucleotides long. NCBI's taxonomy places the organism in Eukaryota, Metazoa, Chordata, Amphibia, Anura, Pelobatidae. The record is from the annotation of a GenBank genome assembly.
GUGAAUUCUUGAAUCCUUGAGGCAACCUGGUCCAAGUCAUCUGAUGCUUUAAUCCCGUAACAGCAUCUUCCAAUUGAAAAACAAAUAUGCACUGACUUUCAACAGCAAGUCGAAGGCAGAAGAAAGCAUCUUUGAGAUCUAGGACUGUAAAGUGAGUUGCCCCACCAGGAAUUAGGGCAAGCAGAUUAUAGGGGUUGGGUACCACUG